AAUGUCAACCCGUGAAUAAGUACGGCCACAGCUCUGAAUGGCCACAGCUCUGGUAUAGAUUCGAAUCAUCGAGCAAGUCGACUCGAUUCGGCUAGCUCAAGCUGGGAGGCUAAGCUAGGCUCGGCUCGGCUCGCCCUUCCUCCGAAUAACGACCAAAGUAUAUUCGGUGUUCCGAGCAAGGUAGUGAUCUAUUCUUUGGUAGCAAAACGUGCGAUAAAUAGAGAGACUUGAGUUUUGUGGGGGAGAGAGAGAGAGAGAGAGAGAGACAGAGAUGGAUUUGGAGACAGUGGGAGACCUGGCCUUGCACAUUAUACUGACGAAGUUAGGUGCCAAAUACACUGCCGUAACCGCUUGCGUCAGCAAGAAGCUGAGGUCUUUUGCCUCGGAGGAUUCCCUUUGGUUCAAGUUCUGCUCCCAAGAUCUUGAUCUCAAUCAGCCUAUUGACCCUCUCGGAAACCCUACCCCUUCUUUCAAGGUGUCUUAUAAAAUAUGGCGGGAAGCUUUCAGUAUGUAUCCUUGGCUGCUGGUCAUACGAGUUAAAAGAUGUUGGGGGAGACUUAACAACUGGUUAGACAUUAAUUUUCCAGAGGCUAAGGCUACACUUCGCACGGGUGUAUCAGAAGCUGAUAUUCAGGAGUUUGAGAGGAUAUUGAAAGUGAAAUUGCCGCUUCCCACAAGGAUCCUUUAUCGUUUUUGUGAUGGCCAAGAAUUUACUUCCGGACCUUUAGUAAGUGCACAGGGAAGUUCAUUGGGUCUCAUAGGUGGCUAUUCUUUUUAUGACCACCUUAUAAAUGUGUAUUUGUUACCUUUAAAUGAGGUGAUUUCCAAUACAAAGGUAAUUUUGCGUCACCCAAGUUUCUCCAGCAGAUCAAAGUAUAUUGUUGUGGCUGCUUCUUCCACGCAUGUUAAAAAGUUCUUUUUCCUCAACUGUACCACCGGUCAACUCCAUGUUGGUACAGAAAAUCUUCCAAUUAAUGGAGGAAUGCUUCCAUGCGUGCCAAAUGCACUGAUAAAUUCAGUGCUCGAUUUCAAUGAUGAUCAACAGCAGGAUGCUAUGCUGUUAUGGUUAGAAGAACAUGGUCGUCGCUUAGAAAAUGGCGUCAUUAAACUCCAUGAAGAGGGUGGUAUCAGAAGCAUCAGUUUGUUUCCAGAGGAACCUCCACUCUGUUCCACUGCUGUAACCAAUGGGGUUAAAGUUCGUGCAUCUACCGUGUUUAUUCCGGAGUCAACUGAUCUUCAAAUUGAUAAUCAGAGGUAUGCAUUUUCUUAUUCAAUCCGCAUGUCCCUUCUGCCCGAAGGAUGCGUAAUUCAUGGAGUACCCUUUAGUUCAUGUCAACUGCAUCGGAGGCACUGGAUCAUCCAUGCUAAUGACCAUAAAGUAUCUGAUGUUAAUGCUGAAGCAGUAAUAGGAAAGUGAUGAAGGUAAAAAUCAGCAAUAAAUUUAUGUAAGCUUGUGAUGAAGGGGACAGACAACUAUAGAGUAGUUCUCCUGGGACAAGGUUAAGCUAUUGAGGCUUGUUGAAGUGAUUUGCUAAUUAGGAAAAGAUAAAAACCUGAUGCGGAUGGCAUGCUGAAACCCAUGAAAAUUGCUUGAUGGAUGAACAUAAGAGUACUUGGAUGAGAAUGAGAAAGGUCAAUGCUCCUCUUGCUCUAAUGGCCCUACCUGACCAAAAUAACAUCUUAUUUUCUGGCCUGGGAGCAAAGUAAAUUUUUUUGUGAGCACCAUCACUUUCAUGAUUAACCCUCUCAUCUAAUAUCUGAAGCUGAAUUCAUGUGGAAGAUGGAGUAGAAAUCCGGCUGGGAGGCUGAGAUCAGGGAGGCAUCAGCCCAGCUCAGCAAGGCCAGAUUAACAGUGCUGAUAUGAAGCAAACCAGGAAAAUGACUAAUUGUUAUGACAUGAAAGAUUCACUUCUUACCCAUUGAAAAUAUUGAUCUCAGCUUCUUGGUUCUCUUGAAAUCUCUAGUUUCCACUUUUGCUUCCAGGUGCGAAAGAAUUUGUUUAUGAGAGUUGUGCACCUCUACCGACUUCUUCAGGUUCCAUAGAGGGCUCUUUCACAUUUGUCCCUGGCAGAUUAACUGACCCAAAAGGUGCU
This is an RNA transcript of Carya illinoinensis, 2093 nucleotides long. It is a transcript of the gene named F-box protein SKIP16-like, with no coding region annotated. NCBI's taxonomy places the organism in Eukaryota, Viridiplantae, Streptophyta, Magnoliopsida, Fagales, Juglandaceae. The record is from RefSeq and is a predicted model, not a curated record. The transcript has 6 exons.